AAGAGAUUCGCUCGAUCGUCUCACUUGCUGACACACCAGCGAGUUCACAAGUGACAGCAGAGGGCAUUAGAAGGGGAAGAUUUGCAGAUCGGUAACUCGAACCAAAAAUCACAUCAAGAUCUGACAGAAUGACUCAGUUCAUCAAGACCUGAAUAUCAUCAGCUUUUGAAUGUGGAAGGAGAAAUGUUUGUCUGUUCUGACUGUAGGGAAAGAUUUGAAACAACUGGGAAAAGCACCGAGACACACACACACCCGAGUGAGAAUAUUCCAGUGCACUGACUGUGGAAUGAGCUUUAACCAGUUACACAGCCUAAACACAAACAGAACCAUUCGCUGUGUGGAGAAGCCAUACACGUGUUCUGUGUGUGAACGAGGCUUCAACUGAUUGUCCAACCUGGAAAGACCUAAAGACACGGACACCGUGGAGAAACCAUGGAAAUGUGGGGACUGUGGGAAGGGAUUCAAUUACCCAUCCCAGCUGGAGAUCCAUCGACGCAGUCACACCGGGGAGAGGCCGUUCACCUGCUCGGUGUGUGGGGAGGGAUUCACAUUAUCUUCCAGCUUACAUAUACACCAGAGGACUCACACCGGGGAGAAGCCAUUAAACUGCUCCGUGUGUGGGAAGAGAUUCAAUUUUCUGUCCCAGCUGCUGAGACACCAGCUGGUUCAUAUUGAUGAGAGGCUGUUUAACUGCUCUGAUUGUGAGAAGAGCUUUAAAAGACGAGAGGACCUGGUCAAGCACCAGUUUGUUCACACUGAGAGACGGUUCAGUUGUUCUCACUGUGGGAAAGUGUUUAGACAAUCACUGAACCUCAUAAAACACCAACAAGUUCAUACUGGGGAGAGGGCACUCACCUGCUCCGUGUGUGGGAAGGGGUUCACUCGACUGUCUCACCUCAGCUCACACCAACUUGUUCACACUGAUAACAGACCUUUCCAAUGUUCUGAAUGUGAGAAGACCUUUAAAACUGCAGGUGAUCUUCUGAGACACCAGCGAAUUCACACUGAGGAGAGGCCAUUUACCUGCUCCAUCUGCCAGAAGGGAUUUAUCUGUUUGACCAACCUCAAGCUGCACCAGCGAGUUCACUCUGAUAGGAAACCUUUCCAAUGUUCUGACUGUGAGAAGAGCUUUAAAACUACAAGGGAUCUACUGAUGCACCAGCGCAUUCACACAGGGGAGAGGCCAUUCACCUGCUCCGUAUGUGGAAAGGGAUUCACCCGUUCGUCCCACCUCCUGACACACCAGCAGGUUCACACAGGGGAGAGGCCAUUCACCUGCUCCGUAUGUGGGAAGGGAUUCACUCGCCUAGCUCACCUCAAUUCACAUCAACUUGUUCACACUGAUAACAGACCUUUCAAAUGUUCUGAAUGUGAGAAGACUUUUAAAACCCCAGGUGUUCUGCUGAGACACCAGCGAGUUCACACUGUGGAGAGGCCGUUCACUUGCUCCGUGUGCAGGAAGGGAUUCACUCAUUCGUCCCACUUAAUGAGACAUCAGCGAGUUCACAACUGAAUGCAGGGGUUGGAUUCUGCCUUUAUCACUGCUGUUAAUCACAUCCAGCACUCAACCAGGUUCAUUCUGAAAGUUGGGCUGACGUUAAUAGCCACGCAUUUGGGCUGGAGUUUAAUUCAUUUGACAAAUCUCAAGAUAUUCAUGUUGUUUGAAACACAAAGUGUCGAGUCCUUAAUUUCUCCAAGAUUAGAGGAGAAUAAUUGAUGUCCUGUUACUGAUUGCUCUAUUUUUGGGCCUUCAACCCUUUCUAACUCUAGAUUAUUUCAGUCCUCAUACCUUUGGUUACUCUCAUGAACCUUUCAGUGUCUCUCUGGGGAAGGUAUCGGUAACACUCCCGGGAUCACGAAACACAAAACACAGUCUGUUAAACACUUUCAGCUGCUGGACUUAGUAUGUACCCCACAGCAAAAAUCAAAUAAACCAAUUUUGUGUUGAA
Long non-coding RNA from Carcharodon carcharias (great white shark), 1949 nucleotides. RefSeq lists it as uncharacterized. Lineage: Eukaryota; Metazoa; Chordata; Chondrichthyes; Lamniformes; Lamnidae. The transcript has 2 exons. The record is from RefSeq and is a predicted model, not a curated record.